This 450-nucleotide ribosomal RNA is filed under the name uncultured delta proteobacterium. RNAcentral describes it as "bacterial SSU rRNA". It matches the Rfam family "Bacterial small subunit ribosomal RNA", at positions 447 to 890 of the family's 1533-position model. The record is from RNAcentral. Lineage: Bacteria; Deltaproteobacteria.
GAAAAGCAUCGGUUAAUAUCCGGUGUAAUAGACGGUACCUCAGAAGAAAGCACCGGCUAACUCCGUGCCAGCAGCCGCGGUAAUACGGAGGGUGCAAGCGUUGUUCGGAAUUAUUGGGCGUAAAGCGGGUGCAGGCGGCCGCGUGUGUCUGAUGUGAAAGCCCUGGGCUCAACUCAGGAAGUGCAUUGGAAACUGCGUAGCUUGAAUCUCGGUGAGGGUGGUGGAGUUCCUGGUGUAGAGGUGAAAUUCGUAGAUAUCAGGAGGAACACCGGUGGCGAAGGCGACCACCUGGACGAUGAUUGACGCUGAGACCCGAAAGCGUGGGGAGCAAACAGGAUUAGAUACCCUGGUAGUCCACGCCGUAAACGAUGGAUACUAGUUGCAGCGGGAGGUGACACCUGCUGUGAUGUAGUUAACACGUAAGUAUCCCCCCUUGGAAUUGACCUUGGA